RNAcentral lists this ribosomal RNA (393 nucleotides) under uncultured bacterium. RNAcentral describes it as "partial 16S ribosomal RNA". It matches the Rfam family "Bacterial small subunit ribosomal RNA", at positions 523 to 918 of the family's 1533-position model. The record is from RNAcentral.
AUACGGAGGAUGCGAGCGUUAUCCGGAUUUAUUGGGUUUAAAGGGUGCGUAGGCUGUGCGUUAAGUCAGGGGUGAAAUGCCGUCGCUCAACGACGGAGCUGCCCUUGAUACUGGCGUGCUGGAGUACGGAUGCCGUUGGAGGAAUGAGUGGUGUAGCGGUGAAAUGCUUAGAUAUCACUCAGAACACCGAUUGCGAAGGCAUCUGACGAAUCCGUCACUGACGCGGAGGCACGAAAGCGUGGGGAUAGAACAGGAUUAGAUACCCUGGUAUUCCACGCCGUAAACGAUGAUGACUAACCGUCGGCGAUAGACAGCCGGUGGCCAAGCGAAAGCGAUAAGUCAUCCACCUGGGGAGUACGUCGGCAACGAUGAAACUCAAAGGAAUUGACGGGG